AUUGAACGCUGGCGGAAUGCUUUACACAUGCAAGUCGAACGGCAGCACGGACUUCGGUCUGGUGGCGAGUGGCGAACGGGUGAGUAACAUAUCGGAACGUAUCCAAUAAUGGGGGAUAACGAGUCGAAAGAUUCGCUAAUACCACAUACGCCCUACGGGGGAAAGCUAGGGACCUUCGGGCCUGGCGUUAAUGGAGCGGCCGAUAUCUGAUUAGCUAGUUGGUGAGGUAAAGGCUCACCAAGGCGACGAUCAGUAGCUGGUCUGAGAGGACGACCAGCCACACUGGAACUGAGACACGGUCCAGACUCCUACGGGAGGCAGCAGUGGGGAAUUUUGGACAAUGGGGGCAACCCUGAUCCAGCCAUUCCGCGUGAGUGAAGAAGGCCUUCGGGUUGUAAAGCUCUUCCGCAAGGGAAGAAAACUUAGUCUCUAACAUAGACUGAGGCUGACGGUACCUUGAUAAGAAGCACCGGCUAACUACGUGCCAGCAGCCGCCGUAA
This 500-nucleotide ribosomal RNA is filed under the name uncultured bacterium. RNAcentral's name for it is "partial 16S ribosomal RNA". It matches the Rfam family "Bacterial small subunit ribosomal RNA", at positions 30 to 523 of the family's 1533-position model. The record is from RNAcentral.